AAGUCGUAACAAGGUUUCCGUAGGUGAACCUGCGGAAGGAUCAUUAAAAAAAUGUCUGGUGCCUCGAUUUGGCAGCAAUGUCAUUCCGAGAGCAACUGUACACACCACUUUGAACCUGCCAUGCUGUGCUCGUAAGAGCCAGUGGGGUGAGGGGAUAAUGUGUCCACCCUCUUGUGAAACUUCUAUAUUUGCUUCGGCAGCGCUCUCAAUGGAAAACUGUUGGCGGGGUAAGGCUGUCAGAAGACCACUAUAAAACUAGUAUUGAUGAAAUGUCAUGCAGUCUGAUAACUAUACUUUGAGAAAUCAAAUUAUGUUAAAACUUUCAGCAACGGAUCUCUUGGUUCUC
This 346-nucleotide unclassified non-coding RNA is filed under the name fungal sp. RNAcentral describes it as "partial internal transcribed spacer region". The stretch from base 1 to 46 matches the Rfam family "Eukaryotic small subunit ribosomal RNA", at positions 1786 to 1831 of the family's 1831-position model. The record is from RNAcentral. Lineage: Eukaryota; Fungi.